GGUCAGUAGGGAGAUAGUGAGUUAUCUCAAUUGAUUGUUCACAGUAUCAGUUACGGAUAGAACUCCUUGUUCUACUUUUCCUCCCUUCUCACUGCUGCAAUUUACUAGUCUUAG
Cercocebus atys (sooty mangabey) is the source of this 114-nucleotide unclassified non-coding RNA. It matches the Rfam family "Y RNA". Rfam says of the family: Y RNAs are components of the Ro ribonucleoprotein particle (Ro RNP), in association with Ro60 and La proteins. The Y RNAs and Ro60 and La proteins are well conserved, but the function of the Ro RNP is not known. In humans the RNA component can be one of four small RNAs -- hY1, hY3, hY4 and hY5. The record is from Ensembl. Lineage: Eukaryota; Metazoa; Chordata; Mammalia; Primates; Cercopithecidae.